AACGCGAAGAACCUUACCCAGACUUGACAUGUAUUGGAAUAUAAUGGAAACAUUAUAGCCCUUCGGGGCCGGUACACAGGUGCUGCAUGGCUGUCGUCAGCUCGUGCCGUGAGGUGUUUGGUUAAGUCCAGCAACGAGCGCAACCCUUAUCAUUAGUUGCCAACAUUUAAGGUGGGAACUCUAAUGAGACUGCCUGGGUUAACCAGGAGGAAGGUGAGGAUGACGUCAAGUCCGCAUGGCCCUUAUGUCUGGGGCUACACACGUGCUACAAUGGACGGUACAGAAGGCAGCAGAGCCGCGAGGUGAAGCAAAUCCAACAAAGCCGUCCCCAGUUCAGAUUGUAGUCUGCAACUCGACUACAUGAAGACGGAAUUGCUAGUAAUGGCAGGUCAGCAGACUGCCGUGAAUACGUUCCCGGGUCUAGUACACACCG
This 433-nucleotide ribosomal RNA is filed under the name uncultured bacterium. Its description in RNAcentral is "bacterial SSU rRNA". It matches the Rfam family "Bacterial small subunit ribosomal RNA", at positions 958 to 1392 of the family's 1533-position model. The record is from RNAcentral.